This 253-nucleotide ribosomal RNA is filed under the name uncultured bacterium. RNAcentral's name for it is "partial 16S ribosomal RNA". It matches the Rfam family "Bacterial small subunit ribosomal RNA", at positions 524 to 776 of the family's 1533-position model. The record is from RNAcentral.
GACGAAGGGGGCAAGCGUUGUUCGGAAUUACUGGGCGUAAAGGGCGCGUAGGCGGUUCUUUAAGUCAGGCGUGAAAGCCCUGGGCUCAACCUGGGAGUGGCGCUUGAUACUGGAGGACUAGAGAGUGGGAGAGGUUGGUGGAAUUCCCAGUGUAGAGGUGAAAUUCGUAGAUAUCGGGAGGAACACCAGUGGCGAAGGCGACACGCUGGGCCGUACCUGACACUGAUGCGCGACAGCAUGGGGAGCAAACAGG